Non-coding RNA from Ceratotherium simum simum (southern white rhinoceros), 98 nucleotides. The record is from RefSeq and is a predicted model, not a curated record. NCBI's taxonomy places the organism in Eukaryota, Metazoa, Chordata, Mammalia, Perissodactyla, Rhinocerotidae.
UUUUAAAGUUUAGAGGUGAUUUAUUUUGUAGAAUGUCUCUCAAUUUGGGUUUGACUAAUCUUUUCUCAUGAUGAAAUUCAGAUUAUGCAUUUUAGGCA